RNAcentral lists this long non-coding RNA (455 nucleotides) under Spirodela polyrhiza (greater duckweed). RNAcentral describes it as "long non-coding RNA (SPOL_LNC001437)". The record is from RNAcentral. Lineage: Eukaryota; Viridiplantae; Streptophyta; Magnoliopsida; Alismatales; Araceae.
UCUGAGCAGGAGUUCGGUGCCCGGAGCUCCGGUCGCCGGUCAUCAAGGGGGCAGGUGGAUCGCCGUGAAUUCCCCGUCUGAACUCGAGUGAGAGCUGGUGGAACUCCGUAGGAGGGCCCGGCAUUGAUGCAGCAUUUAACGAAGUUAAGGUUUUAAUAAUGGUGGGGUCAAAGUAUACCGCGACUUGAAUGCCGGAAGAAGACGUACAUCUCUACAGUUCAACCGUAGACUCCGACACGAACUCGGCGGCAGUACCUUUUGUCGGUAGAUAAAGGAAAAGGGUACGCGGGGAGCGAGUGGAGAAAAGUCCAAGACGUCCCUAUGCCUCCUCUCUCCUGGAUAGGUCUAUAAACUCCUUCAUCCACCAGUUUCAGCGCUCACAACGAGCUAAUUAUCCGUUCCUCUCUCUCUCUCUCUCUCUCUCUCUCUCUCUCUCUCUCUCUCCCCCCCCCCNN